Hippocampus comes (tiger tail seahorse) is the source of this 2490-nucleotide long non-coding RNA. RefSeq lists it as uncharacterized. The transcript is spliced from 3 exons. The record is from RefSeq and is a predicted model, not a curated record. Lineage: Eukaryota; Metazoa; Chordata; Actinopteri; Syngnathiformes; Syngnathidae.
UAUUUGUUCCACAUAACAAGCAAUAAAAUGAGUAACAAAAUGUUAACACGUGCAUUUAAAAACUUUAAACGCCAAAAAUUUAAAUGUCUAAAUUAUGUAUAUUCAUGUAAGCAAUUCACUAAUUACUUAAACAAUAAGUCCAUAGUUUAGAAAAGUUAAAAUUUGUAAAAUAGUUUUUCCCCAUAUCAGUGUAUCUGUCUUGUAUCCACUUGUGAUGCAAGCAUUUCCAUAUUCUGUAUUCUUAAUCGUUGCUACCUAAAUAUUACCUGUAUCUUAUUUCAUCCUGUUUUGACUCGUUACUCACUGGUGGGCGUCCACACUGUGAGCGUUUGUUGUCAGGUUUAUUGAUUGAGUUUAAAAUGGCAUUUUUUUGUUUUUAACUGUGCAAUAUGAUGAGGUGCUGUACAAAUAAAGUUGGACCGCAGAGAAAUACCGGAAAUGGACUGUCACAAAAAUGGGGUCACUGGUCGUCUUUCCUCUGUAUGUCUGACAGAGUCUGGAGGCAAAGUCAGGUAUGUGACGUGGUUAAAUAUCUCAUGCAAGAGAAAGAAAGGAAGAGAAGACGUUAAGUCCAUUUGCUGAGCCAUUGAAAGAUGUCAUACCAGUGCUAACCACAAGAUGGCAGAAAUCGCUCACCAGCCCCUCCAACCCCGAGGCUGGAAUUGAGAAGAAGAGCGUGUCAUGUCCUCGUAACAUCGAUCUCCAAAGUAUAUAAACAACAGUUAUCUCUUUUUUUCCACAUAGCUGGCAGUUUGUUUAAAAUGUGUGAAGAUUUAGUAAACUCAUGUCCUCCAAAAACAACUCUCAACAGUGCUUCCAAUACGUUAGGUGGCUUAAUUGCACAAGCGGCCAUUGUGAUGAACUCCUUUCAGAGCGGGACUUUACUCACCCAUACUUGCACUGUUCACACAGGUUCUGGUGUCUGAAGAGAAAAACAGACUGCGGAUGAGAGUGACAGGCAGAAAUGCUAAAUGAUAUGUCCAAGGAAAAGGCCUAGUAAGUCCACAGCAGUGACAUGUUCCAGAUGUAUUGGCUUUAACUUACCUCACAAGAUGGAUGGAUGCAGCAGCUUCGUAAAAUAACGACUUGAAUAAAUCUUUUAGCAAAAUUGUUCUUGUGAUGGAUCUAUGCUUUUUAUGUCGGAACUGUCAUUUUUUUUUUUUUUCCCAUUGGACUUAAAAACAAUUCUGGUCUGAAGGUAUUAGCCGAAUCUUCUGACCUGUUGCGACUAGUCAAUAAAGCCAUUGGUUUUUAAACACAAUCCUUUUUAAGCGAUGCGAUAAAUGCCGCAGGUCAGCAAACAUUCACCUCGGUCAACAAGAAUGGAUACAUAAAAAGCUGGCGUCACCGUCCGUGACAAGAAAGCCUAUGCAGUCACCAUUUGAACAACGCAAGCCAAACUUAAAAAUCAACCAAUAAGCGUACAACACAAUCGGAAAAUAACGCAUUGAGACAGUCUCAUAUCGAGACUCGUCUGCAUUUCGUCCUUGGCUUUUCAAGGCGAACGGUCUUGUCGCAAAGUGUCAUAUAUUUAGGUGGGGGUUGGGGGAGGGGUGGGUGGUAAGCCUGUCUGCGAAUUUGCUCGUGUGAUGUCAUCACUAUGAGACACUGGUGUGAUAUCAUGACGGUGAGGUAAUGGCAGGAGAGGAUUGCAAGUUUAUUACUUUGGCACGCGGUUAGUUUGGCUUCUGCAGACUGCAACGCGGUUUUAAUGAGAAUAGAUGAUCUGCUUCAAGCGAUUCGCGUGUGUUUGCGUGUGAAUGAGAGAACACAUGUUCAAGCUAAGAGGCAUUUAUGACAGGAGGUGAUUCAAAUUACGUAUACAGGUAUGGUCAAGGGACUAACAUGGCUUGUGCUUGUGCUAGUUCCGGGCCAGUGCCCUUUCUUUUUCCAGCAGCAAAAUUGGCUCUAGCUCUAGCUUUAGCUCUGGUGCUUAAACUGGCCCCAAUUAUUUGUGGGGCCAGACGCUGGCAACGACGACGUCAGGGGGUGGUGGGCGGCGGGCGGGGUUAUCAUCACGAUUGCAGAUGUAGAGAAAUGACUCACUGGACACAUGGAAGGUUUGCACAAAGUCUUGAGUGGUGAACUCCGGCACAAUUGUGUACCACCAGAAGGACGAUUGGGUGAGGUUGGUUGCUAAGCCAAGUCUAAGCUAACUAUUUAUAAUGUGUUCACAUUUUGUGAAUGUGAAGGUCUUACAUUUUGUAGAAUUUGGUGGAUUGAUAGGAUGUUCCAGUGUAUGACUUGUUUUUACACUUACAUGAUUGUUAAAAAUGUUAAAAUGUUAAUUCGAAAAAUUGCCUGUAUGCUGAACAAAGGUUUUUCAGGCAGCCGCAGUUGAACUCGGGAUUGUCUUAUUUCUACUUCUUUUGUGAAAAUUUGGGAAAUCCAAACAAAUUAGUAGUCAACGAAUGUUUUGGGAACAGAAUGUGUCAGUUAUUAAAUUCCUUUGUGUCUUCUUGCUUCAUCAGCAAAUUGAACAAGACACUG